Oncorhynchus tshawytscha (Chinook salmon) is the source of this 1806-nucleotide long non-coding RNA. The record is from Ensembl. NCBI's taxonomy places the organism in Eukaryota, Metazoa, Chordata, Actinopteri, Salmoniformes, Salmonidae.
UAGGGCUGCAUUCUAGUAGAGGGAAUAGUAGGCCGUCAUUGUAAAUAGUAAUUUGUUCUUAACUGACUUGCCUAGUUAAAUAAAGGUUCCGUUUUUUUUUUUUUUUACAUCUUGAUAUAGCAGUGUAUGGAUGUGUUUGUUUAGUCAUUUCACCAGUAGGUGUCAGUGUUGUAUUAUUUGCUGGAGAGGAUAGAAACGGUCCCGAAAUGUUUAAUCUUGAAACAAUGAGGAGAGAAAAUGGCAGCCUCCUGACAAAAUAGACACCCAAGAGGAAAAAGAUGGCGGAAGUGGAUGCUGAGUUCGAAUCAAGUCAAUAUGCCAUAGAAGAAGAAGAGGAAGAUCCGGAGUUGAUGAUGGAAUCGCUGAUGACAGUUCAGAUAAAGAGCCACCUCUUAAGACCAGGAAACCAACAAUGGAUGAGCUCCUGAAAGACUGAAGAAACUUCUGGAUAGGAUCCUUCAUCUCAAUUUCUGCCUAAAAUGUCAUACCUAAAUCUAACUGCCUGUAGCUCAGGACCUGAAGCAAGGAUAUGCAUUUUCCUGAUACUAUUUGAAAGGAAACACUUUGAUGUUUGUGAAGAUGUGAAAUGAAUGUAGGAGAAUAUAACACAUCAGAUCUGGUAAAAGAUAAAACCAACAGGAAAAACAUGCGUUUUCUAUUUGUAUUUUUGUUGCAUCAUCUUUGAAAUGCAACAGAAAAACCAUACAUUGAAACAGGAAGGUGCAGAUAAUUUAGAUGUUGUCCACAACAGGGCAAUUGUGUGUGUGCAUAGUUUCAGACGGAUACAUUUAAGAAUGAGAGAGCUACAUAAUAUUUGGUAUGAAGUCUACCAGGUGUCCCUCACGAGUUUGCCCAAAUGUACCCAAGUGGCCUUCAAGUGGCCGAAUUGGUCAAUUGCAACAUUUUCAAGUACAUAGCUAGAGAGAACAUACAAACAUGCUAUGGUAAUAAACAAUUUAAGUUUACACACAAAGAUGAAGGGGGCUUUAAUUUCAAGUCAUGUCCAGCUGAGGUCCUGACUGCCUUUUAGGUCUAAAUGUUGGUGGAAGUGGCUCCACAUCCUCAAGCACAGUGUGCCAACGGUCCUCUCCCUCAGUGGUAGAUGUCGCUGGUGCACUGGCCCUCCUCCACUUCUGGGCUGGCCUCUUCACACCUCGAUGGCUGGGCGGGGGUGGGUGUGGAGUCAGAGACAGCAGCUGCGGUCAGACUGGAGGAACCAGUUCCUACCUUUGAAUGAGUAAGGGGAUGGAGGACUUGAAUGUGGUCUCUUUGUUGUUGGCUCCCAGAGGUCAUCUGAGUCAAAGUCUCUACCACUAUUGGGGAUUUUUUUUAAAUCAGUUAGAAGUUAAGUUUACUAUUACUUAUUUUAUUUAACAUUUAUUUUCGCAAGGGGGUGAGCCCUGCAUCAAUACUUUUACUGAUGCAUGAAAUACUGUACAUAAAAACACAGCACAUGUCACGAAUAUUACCGAAGGUGACUCCCCUUCUUGUUCGGGUGGCGCUCGGCGGUCGUCGUCACCGGUCUACUAGCUAUCGCCGAUCCGUUGUUCUGUGUUCCUUUGGUUUUGUCUGAUUGGUAUCACCUGUUUCUUGUUUGGUUGUUAGGGUAGGGUUAUAUAUAGUUUGUUCAGCCCGCUUCUGUUUCGUGCGUGCUUGUUAGUCUGUUUUGUUGUUUGAGUGUAUUUUGUUUGUAUUUGGGUUUCACGCUGUCCGUUUAUAUUUCUGAUCAUUUGUUUUUCUUCUUUUGGUUCAUGUUAUGUUUCCGGGACAUUAAAGCGUGUUUUUUCCCACAUCUUUUGCUCUCUG